AGAGUUUGAUCCUGGCUCAGGAUGAACGCUGGCGGUGUGCCUUAGGCAUGCAAGUCGAACGGUAAUUUAAUCUUCGGAUUAGAACGAGUGGCAGACGGGUGAGUAACACGUGAGAAUCUACCUUUUAGUGGGGGAUAGCUCCGCGAAAGCGGAGGUAAUACCGCAUGUGGUCCCGAUUUAUCGGGAUCAAAGUCUUCGGACGCUAGAAGAGGAGCUCGCGCGCUAUCAGCUUGUUGGUGGGGUAAUGGCCUACCAAGGCGAUGACGGCUAGCCGGUGUGAGAGCACGACCGGCCACAAGGCUACUGAGACACGGAGCCUACACCUACGGGUGGCAGCAACCGGGAAUAUUGCGCAAUGGACGAAAGUCUGACGCAGCGGCACCGCGUGUGGGAUGAAGCUCUUCGGAGUGUAAACCACUGUGGCGAGGGAUGAAUUCUGACAGUACCUCGCUAGAAAGCAUCAGCUAACUACGUGCCAGAAGCUUCGGUAAUACGUAUGAUGCAAGCGUUAUCCGGAUUCACUGGGCGUAAAGGGUCCGUCGGCGUCCCGAAAGGUCUUUUGUUUAAUCCUCCGGCUCAACUGGAGAUCAGCAAAAGAAACCAUUGGGAUUGAGUCUGUUCGAGGAAGCUAGAAUUCUUGGUGGAGGGGUGAAAUCCGUAGAUAUCAAGAGGAAUACCAUGCGCGAAGGCAAGCUUCUAGGACACGACUGACGCUCAGGGACGAAAGCUUGGGUAGCAAAGCGGAUUAGAGACCCGUGUAGUCCAAGCUGUAAACUAUGCUCGCUAGUUUCUCGUUCCGCUUUGCGGAAUGGGAGACGUAAGCUAACGCGUUAAGCGAGCCGCCUGGGGAGUACGACCGCAAGGUUAAAACUCAAAGGAAUUGGCGGGGGAGCGCACAACCGGUGGAGCAUGUGGUUUAAUUCGAUACAAAGCGAAAAACCUUACCCGGACUUGACAUGUACCUGCACGGUCUUGGAAACAAGAUCUUCUUCGAGAGUGGUACACAGGUGAUGCAUGGCUGUCGUCAGCUCGUGUCGUGAGACGUCUACUUAAGUGUAGUAACGAGCGCAACCCUUGUCCCGUGUUACAAGUGUCACGGGAGACUGCCUCUGCUUUGCAGGGGAGGAAGGAGAGGAUGACGUCAAGUCAGCACGUCCCUUACGUCCGGGGCAACACACAUCCUACAAUGGAGCCGACAACAGGUAGCGACAGGGUAACCUAGAGCCAAUCCUUAAACGGCCCCUCAGUUCGGAUUGCAGGCUGAAAUUCGCCUGCAUGAAGUUGGAAUCGGUAGUAAUCGCAAAUCAGCAGGUUGCGGUGAAUGCGUUCUCGCUCCUUGCACACACUGCCCGUCAAGCCAGCAAAGUCAGCAGCGCCCGAAGCGGGUGUCCGGAACCCUCACGGGACCGGCCCUUCUACGGCGAGGUUGGCGAUGAGGACUAAGUCGUAACAAGGUG
RNAcentral lists this ribosomal RNA (1457 nucleotides) under metagenome. RNAcentral's name for it is "bacterial SSU rRNA". It matches the Rfam family "Bacterial small subunit ribosomal RNA". The record is from RNAcentral.